Syngnathoides biaculeatus (alligator pipefish) is the source of this 707-nucleotide long non-coding RNA. RefSeq lists it as uncharacterized. The record is from RefSeq and is a predicted model, not a curated record. The transcript is spliced from 4 exons. Lineage: Eukaryota; Metazoa; Chordata; Actinopteri; Syngnathiformes; Syngnathidae.
CCAGCUGAUAUUCAUUUGGCCUGACAAGGGUUUGGCUUGCCGUUUAAUUAUUGAUAGAUUUUAGGUGAUGUCUUUUCAUUGAGUCAUUUAACAUUUUUACACACAACUUAAUUUCUCAGUUUAUUUGCUCUACUUUCUUUGUCUGUAUGGAUUAUUUGGUUUGUUAUCAACAUCUGGUGAAAUUUUCAGUUUAUCCAGAUUUGGCAAACAUGCAUACUGAAUCAUUAGAGGAGGACCGCACAGAACAACAAUGACGUCUGAGGAUGGAGCAGGCAGGACCUUGUGGAACAUGCAUCUCACCCAAAGUCAGCUAGGAUAUGCUCCACUCACCAGAAAUAAAAUAAAGAGGAUUCGCGGCCAGAACGGGCUGGAGAUAGCGAGAGAGACAUAUCCCGCACUCUCCUCGCGAGCAAAAGUUCCUCUUUUGAGGAGGGUGCUCCACAGCGCCUAAACGGAAGAGGCGUCACAUGACGAAACGGAAGUGAUGUUACAGCAGAGCGCCUGAUGUGAUGUCAAAAAAGUGAGUCUCGGACAUUCGUUACUCUAUAUGAGAAGACAUCACGCGUUUGCUUUGUUUGUGACUUUCUGUACUGCAUUAAAAAAAAUGUUUCAUUGUUAUUGUUUAACUAGAUGCUUUUACUGUUGUCAUUUUUGUCUCAGGUAUGUAAAAUAUAAAUGCUGUACGGUUGAUUAAACAGUACAGGACA